Transfer RNA from Camelus ferus (Wild Bactrian camel), 72 nucleotides. It matches the Rfam family "tRNA". Rfam says of the family: Transfer RNA (tRNA) molecules are approximately 80 nucleotides in length. Their secondary structure includes four short double-helical elements and three loops (D, anti-codon, and T loops). NCBI's taxonomy places the organism in Eukaryota, Metazoa, Chordata, Mammalia, Artiodactyla, Camelidae. The record is from Rfam.
GAGGGUAUAGCUCAGUGGUAGAGUGUGUCCUUAACAUGCACAAAGUCCUGGGUUCAAUCCCCAGUACCACUA